Molecule: ribosomal RNA, 489 nt
Filed under: uncultured bacterium
Lineage: Bacteria
Description: bacterial SSU rRNA
Rfam family: Bacterial small subunit ribosomal RNA
Source: RNAcentral
CUCAGGAUGAACGCUGGCUGUGUGCCUAAUACAUGCAUGUCGAACGAAGCACUUGUGCUUAGUGGCGAAUGGGUGAGUAACACGUACUUAAUCUGCCCUCAAGUUUGGGACAACAGUUGGAAACGACUGCUAAUACCGAAUAUUCAUUAUUACCGCAUGGUAAUUUUGUAAAAGGAGCGUUUGCUUCGCUAGAGGAUGAGAGUGCGUCGCAUUAGUUAGUUGGUAGGGUAAAGGCCUACCAAGACGAUGAUGCGUAGCGGGGUCGAGAGGCUGAACCGCCACACUGGGACUGAGAUACGGCCCAGACUCCUACGGGAGGCAGCAGUAGGGAAUUUUCCACAAUGAACGAAAGUUUGAUGGAGCGACACAGCGUGCAGGAUGAAGGUCUUCGGAUCGUAAACUGCUGUUAUAAGAGAAGAAACCCUUGGUAGGAAAUGACCAAGGCUUGACGGUACCUUAUCAGAAAGCACCGGCAAACUAUGUGCCAGU